GAGGAACAGUAAAAAUGCAAGAAUCAUGAUCCAGUCUGGAAGAACAUCCUCUAAGGUCCUGUGCCUGUCAUGUCCCAUUCAUUCCACAGAAAAUGAGAUACAUGCAGUCCUUGACUACUCUGACUUGUUCUUCAAGGGUUAUGGCAACAGUGAUUGUCCCUUCUAGGAUGCCUGUGAAGUAUUUGCUGGUGGUGGUUGUAACUGUUCUCUCCAAAUGCACAGCCUGUCAGCUUCUCACGACCUGCUCGGGGAUGGAGUGUGGAAAUUGGGACACCAGCUGCAUAUUCCUACUGGACCUUGGCUCUUCUCUGGCAAGCAUCACGCAGAGCUGAUAUUUUACCCAGUCAGCUUAUACAUGUGUGGAGGAGCCGCUGACUUUGGUCACAGAGCUGUGUGCAGUUUGCAGGCCACCUGGGACACUUCUGGGCCAGAUCGGGUGGCGUGGCUGGACGCGGGGCCAGGUAGCACAUCCGCAGUGCAAAGCUUCGGAGAGAUGUCGUGCGCUGAAACACCAGGAGCACCCAGCCCAGCGCACAGCUUUCUGCUCUGCAGGCCGAGUCCUCUCCGGCUCCCGAGCGCCUGCUCCCAGGAGAGGGCAGUGGAGCCGCACACGCUCCCGUGCUGCGGCCGGCGGGAAGGCCGGCUCGCCCGGGUGCUGG
Long non-coding RNA from Cygnus atratus (black swan), 659 nucleotides. RefSeq lists it as uncharacterized. The transcript has 4 exons. The record is from RefSeq and is a predicted model, not a curated record. Lineage: Eukaryota; Metazoa; Chordata; Aves; Anseriformes; Anatidae.